AUACGGAGGGUGCAAGCGUUAUCCGGAAUCAUUGGGUUUAAAGGGUCCGUAGGCGGACUAAUAAGUCAGGGGUGAAAUCCCGCAGCUUAACUGUGGAACUGCCUUUGAUACUGUUAGUCUUGAGUUAUAUGGAAGUAGAUAGAAUGUGUAGUGUAGCGGUGAAAUGCUUAGAGAUUACACAGAAUACCGAUUGCGAAGGCAGUCUACUACAUAUAUACUGACGCUAAUGGACGAAAGCGUGGGGAGCGAACAGGAUUAGAAACCCUAGUAGUCC
This 274-nucleotide ribosomal RNA is filed under the name uncultured bacterium. RNAcentral describes it as "partial 16S ribosomal RNA". It matches the Rfam family "Bacterial small subunit ribosomal RNA", at positions 523 to 796 of the family's 1533-position model. The record is from RNAcentral.